Mustela erminea (ermine) is the source of this 3355-nucleotide long non-coding RNA. RefSeq lists it as uncharacterized. Lineage: Eukaryota; Metazoa; Chordata; Mammalia; Carnivora; Mustelidae. The record is from RefSeq and is a predicted model, not a curated record. The transcript is spliced from 3 exons.
GGGUGGAGCCCCGCGGUGACCCAGGCCACCGCCCCCGCGAACCGCGCACCUGCGACGUUUGCUCCGCCCGCCGCUCUCGGCGCAAACUUUCGGAAAGCGAAGGCCUUUCGGGGGCAGGAAGGCCGGGGAUGUUGACGGGUUGGCGGCAUGAAGGACCCUGGCCCUGGGGGAAGGGGAAUCUCGUCCAGGCCGGACAAGGUGCUGAGCAGAAGACAAGAAAGAAACUAUUUCUGAGUUGUGAUGAAAAGCCAGGCCUGGAGUGGGGAAAACCGAAUUUUUCCAUCAUGUCACUGUCAUAAAAGACAAAGCCAACUAUUCCAGAUUAAAGGAGACUACAGAGAAACGGCAGUGGAAUGCUUCGCUUCACUUCUAGACGGGAUCCUGGACUAGAGGGAAAAUGCUAUGCAAAGGACAUUAUCGAGGUAAUUGACAAAAUGGUGGUAAAUGAGAUACUAUGUUGCAUUCAUGUUAAAUUUAGUGAAGUGGAUAAUGGUUCUUACAUACACUGUAACUGUUUAGGCAUAAAGGAGUGUGAUGUGUGCAACUUAUUCUCCAGUAGUUCAGAAUAAGUUACCUGUAACACUUCAUAUAGAGAAAGAAUUAACUUUCUUAAUUUUAACAGGUGAAUUCAGGAUAUAGGGCAGACAAAUGUCCACUAUACUAUUCACUUUUCCUUAACUUUGAAAUUAUUUCCAAAUAAAAAGUUAAACCAAAAAAAUCCAGGCUCCUUACCAUGGCCCACGAGGUACCUGCCACCACCCCCAGCCAGCCUGUGCCAUCUCAUCCUGACCCGUCGUCAUGGGCAGCUCCAUUGAUAUGGCUGCAUUCUGGGUUCCCAAACAUACCAAGUUCUUGCCCACCUCUGAGCCUUCAUGCACACACCUACUAUUGCCUCUGUAUGGAUUUUCUUCCCCCAACUCAAGUACUCAGGGAUACAGUAAUUAUCAUUUCUCAAAAUGGCCUUCGACCCCCCCACUCCAACCUAAUACAGACCGAGUACAUUCUUUCAUAGCUCCCUGAACUUUUCCUUCAUGGUACUUAUCACAGUUUGUAAGAAUGCGUAUUUGGGGAGGAUUCCUAAUGCCCAUCUUCUCUAGUAGCCUGAAAGCUCCUAAAAGCCAAGGAUCUCAUCCCUUUCAGCUACUGGACCUAGCACACUGCUGGGCACUUAGGACACAGCAGAUUAAAUGAUGUCUUCUACCCUCCAACUUCACCCCCAAAUUGUUGGCAGCUGUCAGAGAACACACCCCACAGUCCACGUCUAGCUGUAGGAACGGAUUCAUGAGGUUGCGUCUACGUGGGCUUCUUGGAUUCCCUAUCGCUAACCCCAGUACUUGAAACUAAGAGGCCAACUAAGAAGGGAAACUCUGGGGGAGACUGAUGCCAAGGGAGGGAUGAUGAAUUCAGCUGAGAGCCUGGAAGCCCCAGGGGGAUGUCAAGGGGGCAGUUGGCUGGACCAGGCUGGUGCUCAGAGGGGCAGUUUGGAUUGGAGAGGCGGCCGACAGCCCAGGCUGUGGGCAACAGGAGCGUCUCUCACGGACCUGUCUGUGCAAACGAGAGAGAAAAGAGUCCAAGGAAUGGGGCCCAGAGGAGCCCGACUUAAGGGCUAUGCAGAGAAAAGCGUCUCUGGUGGCAAAUAAACAGUGUCUGGGAAAGUGGGAGUGUUAUCAGGGGAGAGAGAGAGAGAGAGAGAGAGAGAGAUGUCGCAGAAGACAAGAGAGGAAGCCGGUUAGGCGCUGAACUCCACACAUUCGUUUUUCCUUUCCCCUUGUUCGAGCUCAGCAUCUGGCAUCUCACGAGUUGAGGUGGCCUGGACUAGGGGCUUGGACUCUCGUCUCAAGACAAGAAGAAUCUUGACUCAACCUCAGAAUGGCUGUAUGACCUUGGGCCAUGGACUUAACUUUCCCAGACUCCAAGCCCCUGUCUUCAGAAUGGGAGUAAGGCUACUAUUCACUUUCCCAGGCUGCCGUCAGGAUUGCAGAAACUCAUCUCUGGAAAACCCUUUGAUCCAUGUUUGAUCUACAGUCUAGGGAUGAAUAAGCAUCACAGGUCACGCACAGCAGGGGCAGGAUGCGCUGCUUCCGGCUAACAGAAUUGUUUCUGAGGUUUGGCCAAUGAGGGGCUUCAGACAACAGUCAAAGAGCCCCCUCGCCACCUUCUAGGCCAUGGCCCCUUCCCCUGAUCCAAUCCCUAUUAAACAGACCUACCGUGACAGGCUCCAUUUAACACAGUCCUUUCUCCAAAGCCUCUUUCUGAAAAUCAUCUGUGCCCCCCACCCCCCAAAUGUGCCCCAAGUCUGCCCACUUGGUUGCAACUAAACCCUGUUUAUCGGGUAACCAUGGGGACACCUCUUCCUCAACACAACUACCUUCCGUGGAUCUCAGGAAGUAUCCCCAGGCCUCUGACUUGGAGAUCGCUCUAGUGUGAGCCAGUAGCUUCUGACCAUCCCCUCUCUGAGGAAAGAGAAGAGUGUGGACACCUCUUCACAGCUUAGAAAGCGACUCCACACCGUGACCUCCCUUUCAUCCUCACAACGGCCCCGUGAGGUAGAUACAGCAGGUAAUAGCUACUCUGGUCCACGUUGAUCAAGCAUUUACACUGUUACCAUGCUCUGUGUGAAGAAUUUUCAUAGGUGAUCUCACUUAAACUCACCCAGAUCCUAUGAAGUGGGCUCAGCUUUUCCAUUUUACAGAGGAGCAAAAUGGGGUCACAGUGGCGAGAAGUUGCCCCUAAUCAGAGAGGUAGUAAGUAACGGAUUCAAACCUCAGACCACACUUUCAACCCUUCUACAACAUCGCCUCACGAAACAAGUAUAUUAUUUCCCGGCACUAGCUUAUCCAUUAAAUGGGAGCUCGGAGAGGUAAAGUGACUUGCCCAAAGUCUCACACCCAGGAACUGGCGGAGCUGAGAUCCACAACUGGAUCUUCUGGCUCUGAGGCCCCUGAAACCAGGAAGCAUCAGUGACAGGGUCUGAUGAGGUACUAGGUAAUUAUUUCUGUAGCAGCCUUGCCUUGGCAAUCCUGUUCAGCCCAGAAUAGUAUUUCUAAACCGGAAGUCCUUCCUGACAUUUUUCUGGGAAAUUUAUGUUUUCCUGAAUCCCAAGACCCAUCAGUCAAGAGACUGGGAAAAUAGGAAAAGUAUUAUAAUUCUCUUGUGAGAAUUCAUGCUUAACAAUAAACAUAGAGGCAUUCCUGGUAGGAAGGAAUCACUGACAUCAAGUGGAAAUGCAGAGAGAUGGAGUCCAAGACUAAGGUAGAUAUGUUGGGAACUUGGGUCAGAAGGAGAGAAGUGGGGGUGCCUGUCUGGCUCUGUCAGAGGAGUGUGUGACUCUUGAGCUCAGCUUUGUGAGUUCGAG